RNAcentral lists this long non-coding RNA (365 nucleotides) under Dromaius novaehollandiae (emu). RNAcentral's name for it is "lncRNA (ENSDNVG00000017460.1)". The record is from RNAcentral. Lineage: Eukaryota; Metazoa; Chordata; Aves; Casuariiformes; Dromaiidae.
AGGAGGACUGCUGCUGCUUUACUUGGAUCUUCUGCUUGCAGAACACAACUGGUGUAAUUAUAUCUAAAGAUGCGUUUUAAACUCUAAAACAAGAGUUGUUAAUGCUGACAUAGGAUCUUUCCAUUCACCCAGCUGGGUUUGCUCCAGAGUUUCCCAUUCGUUACUUUUUCUAUUUGUUUUUGCAGGACUGUUCAAGGAUGAAGAAAGCAGAAAUCCAAUGCUGAACACGGAUCUACAACACAUAUAUCCAAAUUUGCUUGGGUAAAAGUGAAGUUUAACGAAAGGUACACUUCUCAACGUAACACGACAUUGUUAAAAUCGCACAGGGGGAAAAAAUAAAUAAUAUUUUGAAUCGUUACUGUCCA